UAGAUUUCAUGUGAAGCACAGUGAAAAAUCCAAUAGUAUACACCAAUAGCCGGGUCGUCCACGACAGGCACGUGGGCAAGUGCCAGUGGAGGCAUCCGCCUGCUACCGAGAUCUACCGCUGCAAUUGAUUAUCAGUAUUCGAGAUCAACGGCAACGUCAACAAAAUCUAUUGUCAAAACGAUGAGUACGGCUGCCAUCUGAUUGUUUACUUCAGACAACGUCUCCUGCAUCAGCGUCAGGACUUCGGUCGUUUCCUAUCGAGUUCAGCUACUUGCUGCCAAAAAUCGAGAGCAUUCCUGGAAUCCCAGAGAAACCGCUCUCGGAUCUCGGACGUUUGUCGUAUCACUCGUUCUGGAAGAGCGUCAUUCUUGAGUACCUCGAUUCUCAUCGCGAGGUCAAGGAGCUUUAGAUCGCUGAGAUCACAAAGGAAAAGGGUUUUUCUGGUCACGACAUCGCCACGGUAAUGCAGCUAUUGGCUUAUUUUCUGUGUCACGUUCCGAACGGUCCCAAAAGUGGUAAGCAUGUCGCCUGGCGCAUGAUGAUGCUCACACGGCUAAGGUGUGCAAGCAGAGCACCCAGCUGAAGCCGGAUUGUCUGCCCUCAAUACCAUUGCUCACGCAAGUAUCCAACGCCUAAGUACCAGUCUCCCGAGGAGAAAGACACAAGUUCGGAAUCGGCAUCACUGGUACUGAUGAACCAGCCACCACCAUGUGUCAGCACACCCGUAGUCACGAUGCCGGAAAAGAUUCUGCGAGUUAAGAUUCGUAAGAAGAUCCGCGGGCGAAAAAUAGGUGGUGCACGCAGGCAGAUUUUACCCAUGAAGCAUAAGACGUUGCCGCAGCAGAGGACAAAGCUGCUGAAAAAGAAAGAACUACAAGACGUGGAUAAGAUCUCGGGACACGUCGCGGGCACCGAACAGGACAUUAAGGGCGAUACUCUAAACGAAUCCAAGAGCAUCGUAACGACGCCCAAAACUACGCGAAAGGGGCCUGAAACUACACCUAGAAGUGCUUCAAACUCCAGCAUUUUACCUAAGACGCUGACAAGGUGCAACUCCAACUCUAACGUUACCGCGAGUACUCCGACGACUCCUCUCUUGUUGUCGUCUAGACGAAACGUAGGAACAGCGAUGAAGACCCCAGCGGCAACGGCAAGCAUAGCAAUAAAAACGACGAGUUGAGAUUGUUAGUAGCAGGAAGAGAACUUGAGUCGUGACUUGACGACGGAGAAGGAAAAUAAUCGGUAGAAAGAGACAGUAAAGUGAAGGAAAGCGCGAGAUUGAAAGAGCGAGAAGCUGCUGCAGCUGUAGAAGUAGGAGUUGCCAAGGUAAUAGCCCUCUCAAAGUUAACAAGCAAAGGAAGCUGGACGACAUACUGGUGAAAGUCUCGAAUUUAAAGUCUAAUUUCACGCCAGUGCGACAAGUCCGCGAGAAAAGAUGAUUCAGCUGAAGCACUACACCCGCCCUGUCGGUAUAAUCUGUCAAGCACAUAGCGCCGACUAUAGAGCUGUAAAUUUAGUCGCUCUUUAACCUCGAGCCUACAGAGCAUAUAUAGAGCAAAAUUGUUUUUUUCGGGCUGGCCCUGAUCAAGUUCAUUUGGACGUCUAGCUUCGCUGCUUACAGGGAUCCUUGAAGGUAUUUAAUUGAUGUGUAUGAGGGAAGUGAGGGACCGGCGCCUAGAAAAAAAGACACAGGUGAUAGCAAAUACAAAGGGGAAUCAAUUUAAAUAGGAUACGAUUUUUUAUCCGAACAGAGGUUAUGUCAGCGUGCGUCAGCCAUGAAGAGUGUUUGGAGGGUCGUCGCCUAGUAUAUCGCUACAGUAGACAAGAGUAAUACAAUUUACGAUGAAAAUUUAAUGUACAGAUCUUCAGAAAUAGAUGAGCAUUUUAUAAGACAGUAUACCUAGAUUAGCUAGGUAGAGUGUACUUCAAGAUUUCAUGUUAAGUAUGGUAAAAGGUCUAGUCGAAGCUGUUCUGUUGACUUUUGAUGGCUUGGAUCUGGCUUUUAAGAACUUCACGAUGACAACCGUGGCGAUGUGCCUGGUCUAGCAUACUGAGCGCAAAUUGACUCACAUCAUGGUCUUUAACGAGCUGUAUAACAUCAAGACCGUGGCAGAGAUUCAGGAGGUUCGACACUCUUUCGCCAUGUGUCUCAUCGAGGACAAUAUCAUAGCACACAUUUUCGUUUCAAACCUGCACGUCAAAGUAAUUAAUUAGUCACAUAGGGCUAAGCUUUCUGGCGAUGGAAGGUUUCGUCUUUUCCACGGACAUGGAUAUAAUGUGGCAGAUGACUCAGCUAAAGCACUAAGCUUGCCCUGUCUACGACCUGCUGGCACCGUAGUCGGUCAAGCACAUAGCAUCGAGCUGCAACCUUGAGCCUAAAGAGCACACGAGUAGAGUUUGUUUUUCGUGUCGACCAUGCUCAAGUUCAUUUGGACGUCUAGCAGCGCUGCUUACACGGAUCCUCAGAGCCCAGCUCCAAGAGACCGUUACCUAGAAUAAUAACUACAGAAGAUUGGUGCGUCGAAGCCCAAAGCAAGAGGCAAUGCAAACAGAGCAAUAAUCUUUCGCCAUCGAAGAGUUGUUUCAUCCAAAGAAUCAAACCAAUUCUGAUAUAUCCAUUCAAUAUGUACAGCAGAGUAGUAAAAGUACAAAAAUAAUAAGUUUGAGGUAUCUGUUUUACUAGGUGUGUAGUGUGAAAGUAUGCUGAGGUGAAGAUGGGUUAAGCGAGAGUGAGCAAGUGUGUGCGUGUGCGUGACUGUGUAUACGAUGUUUAUGUGUUUAUGCGUUUUCGAAUUCGAAAAAGUAAUCUUUAGCUAGUUUCUUGAAUACUGCGAUGGAUGUAGUGUUACGGAGGUGUGAUGGCAGGUUGUUCCAUAGGUAUGAGGCGCU
RNAcentral lists this long non-coding RNA (2889 nucleotides) under Nasonia vitripennis (jewel wasp). RNAcentral's name for it is "uncharacterized LOC116417315". The record is from RNAcentral. Lineage: Eukaryota; Metazoa; Arthropoda; Insecta; Hymenoptera; Pteromalidae.